This is a long non-coding RNA of Mustela lutreola (European mink), 2027 nucleotides long. RefSeq lists it as uncharacterized. Lineage: Eukaryota; Metazoa; Chordata; Mammalia; Carnivora; Mustelidae. The transcript has 2 exons. The record is from RefSeq and is a predicted model, not a curated record.
CAUUAAGCACAGAAGUGAUGUCUGUGCUCCUCGUGCUGGUUCAUAAUACUUUCUCGUACGAAAGAAAACCAAACCCAGGACGUUUGCAGCAUCUGAAAUUUUUAAGACUCUUAGGAGUCUCGUGAGGUAAUUUUCAGAUGAGGAACCAUGAUCUAUGCCAAAUAGUUUCAGGAAGUGACAGAAACAAGAAAGGAACAAGAUUAACUCCCAAUCCAAUGCUCUUUAAAUUCUUACCACCCAGCUUCUGAAGGACUUUGAUUUAGGUGGAAGAAAUGCAGCAAUCGCAGGAGAACAUCCCUGGGAUCAUCUAUAGGAGAAUAGCCCAACCUGCCAGAACUAGCCUCCCUCAGCCAUUGCAGGCCCCUGCCUCCUGCCUCCCUCUCCUUCCCUUGGAGCUUCACGGAGCUUCCCUGUGCAGACUGACUGCAGACCUCAGGACUCCAGCAGACAUGCCGAAAGCUGGAGGAAAGACGGUGUGGCUGCAAAAAGUCUCCUAAGCCUGCCAAGGAUGAUCUUCGAUGGUACAACUUGGACCUGGACAAUCAUUUGUGAACAAAGGAGGCCAGACGCCUGAGCCUGCUCGGAAUUGACUUCUGUGUCCCUCUAUUAUUGAAACUGACAUCGGAUGUGCGUGCGUGUGUUUCUUUCAUAAAAGCCCUAUCCUAGUCCAAGAUCAAACAAUUGAUUUUGGAAAAUAACUGCACAUAAUGGUACAUUUUCUAGAACUGACCAGGUUCCCCCUGUCAUUUGCCAUCAGCUUUGAAGUAUUUAAUAGCUAAGGUAACUUGAAGAAACUCCCAUGUUCCUGAAAACUGCUCUUAGUGUCCCUACUAUUUGCUGGGGACUUAUCAUUUACCCACUGCUUUAUCAGUCCACUUUUUACUUUUAUCUACUUAUUUCCCAAGUGGAUUGUCAUUACCUCGUUCUCUGCACAUCGUUUUUAAGAUCUGAGGAGGAUUUCCUUACGUGAAUAGACCUUAACUGAUCUGAAUGUCCCCUAGAGUUCAUAUUUGAAUUAUUUCCAAUUUUUCUCUAAUACAACAAUUCUUGAAUGAGUAUAUCAUCUUUUCCCCCAGCUUCACUGAGGUAUAAUUGACCAAUAAAAGUAUCUACUUAAGGUGUAGAUUUGUAUCUACUUAAAGUAUCUACUUUAAGGUGUAUGAUUUGAUAUAUAUACACACUGUGAAGUAUUUCCCACAAUCAAGCUAAGGAACACAUCCAUCACCUCCCAGGGUUACUCUUUGUGGGUGGUGAUCCAUAUCUUUUUGUGCAUCUACAUUUAUCACAACAAAAAAACCAAAAGUAAAGUCACCUAAAGGCAAAGGGUAUGUGCCAAGUAAAGCUUUGGUUGUACAUGUUGCCAAAAGGCUCUAUAAAUGAGUUGAAUGGACCAGGUCCACAUACAAUUUUGACGUAGUUCUUCUGUUGGGAAGCAUGAUUCACCCUCAUGAAAGAAGUUUUACCUAAUACUUCAUGAUAUGAAGGAAAAGGUGAAAUGCGACUGAUUUUCUCCAUGCAUACACUCGAAGAGGACCCAGCAGCUCACCUCUGGGAGCAUAUGUGCAGGGCCCCAGCUGUGAUGCCUCCACUAGGAGCUGGUGCAAGGGCAACUGUUGUGUGGUGUGUAGUUUGGAGGUUGAUAGAUCCCUGGCUAUUUACUGCUUUUUAACAGUUAUAGAAAAACAAUGACUUGAUAGACAUCUUUCAGGUCUGGAUGAAAAUGUCACUUUCUUAAGGGGUCUUCCCCAACUCCCCAGUCUACAUUUCAACUUUUUCUUUGACUCAUUAACUAGCCCAAAAUGUCCUGAGUCAUCUGAAGAGAAACUAGCUCCCACGUGGUCUCUUGUACUUAGCACAUCGUGACAUGCUAAGUCUGGAUACAUCUAUGGAUAUGUACCAAUCAUUUCAAAACAUAUGUUGUGAGACAUUUUAUCAGUUACAACCUAAUUUCAAAAUGGGUCAAUAUUUUAUAUACACAAUGUCCUGUAUGCUCAGUUCAGUUGAAUAAACAUUUGGUGGCAUCGUGA